UCCCCAGAGACCCACCCUACUAGGGAAAGAGAGAGGCAGACUGGGAGUAUGGACAGACCAGUCAACGCCCAUGUUCAGCGGGGAAGCAAUUACAGAAGCCAGACCUUCUACCUUCUGCAACCCACAACAACCCUGGGUCCAUGCUCCCAGAGGGAUAGAGAAUGGGAAAGCUAUCUGUAAAAGGCAGUAGCCUUGAAAUUCCCUUUUUAUGCCGUUGUUUGUUAAGUGCUUUUAGUAUGAGUUGCUUGUAGUAUGAGGUGGAAAAUUCCUUGCCCCUUCCCCCUUGAAUAAGCAGGACCUAAUCAGUGAAGGCCACCCAUUGUUCGAAGGACCCUGCCUGGGGACAAGCCUUAUCAGGACCUCAUCAGUGAAGGCCACCCAUUGUUCGAAGGACCCUACAUGGGGACAAGCCUUAUCAGGACCUUUGAACAGACUCUGUGGUGUGCUGCCUACCGGAUGGGUGGUCAUAGCCGAUGGCAGGAGGAUGUGGCGACCCUGCCUGGUUGAAUUCUAUUGGUUGUGUGAUCUUACUAUAUUUGAAAAUAGCCCGCACUUUGCUUUGAAUGGACCCUGCUUUUUGCUAAGUUUGAAAUGAUUGGAUCUGUGUUUGCUAUAGCCUGUUAUUGGAUGUAGGUUGAUAAGUGGAUGGUGGUUUGAUUUAUGCUCGCUAACAUUUGGAGGCUCCAGCGAGAUCCCUCAGACGGGUAUUCCUGAGGACACCCCAUCCUGGGUCCGGACCCUCGGAGGCCUUGGAAGUCCUGCCCGGCGCCGAGUCUCUCAAGUUAGGUAUCACACACUGAAGAUGUGUCUCUAUCUCUUGUGUGGAAAAUGACAGAAAGGUUAUUGACAUGUAAACGUUUUAAAAUACCUUCUCAACUAAAGAAGUAGAACUGGCUUAGGUGAGUGAAAAAUAACACAGUGGUUAUAUUACUGGUAUAUCUGUUUGUUAAAAAGACCUUCUAAAAUUACAUAGAGAUGUAUAGGCAAAUUCUGGUCAUUAGACUGUCAGUUUUGGUAAGCUCUUAAUCUGGUUUUGUGUAUGUCUUACUGGUUACAAAUGUACGAGUACAGCAGUGAUACCCCUUCAAUCAUACUGCCAGGUUCUCUUAGGGGGUCUCCAAGAGGCAGUAAAAUGGCCCACAAAUUUCUCUAAGGUAAAUAGAAUGACACUAAAUUUGGCCUUUUGUUGCUCAAAUCUGCCCCAGGUGUUAGAAAAAAGUUACAGAAGACAGAAAGAUUUUAAAGAAAAGCUGAGAGAUUGCUCAGAGGGUUUUUAAGAAGUUGGUAAAUGUUUUGACAUCAGACUUUGGAAAGGAAGAAAGAAAGAAAGAAAGAAAGAAAGAAAGAAAGAAAGAAAGAAAGAAAGAAAGAGAAAGUUGGGGCAGUGCCCAGAGGGAAAAGGAAAGUCAGAAAAUUGGGGCUAAGGGAAGAGAAAGAUCAGUGAUGUUGCUGCAAAGAAAAAGGACACUGGAAGAAAGGCUGUUUUAUCAACAAGCCAUUUAGACUGCUUGUGGAUGAACUUAAAGGCAUAAGCCGGGAAGUGCUGACCCAAAACCUUGGGCCAUGGCACAGACCCGUUGCCUAUUUGUCAAAUAUUGGACCCUGUAGCUGCUGGAUGGACAAAAUGCCUGAGGACAGUAGCACCUGUGGCACAGCUGGUAAGGAAAGCAGACAAGCCAUCACUGGGGCAAGUCCAAUGCCCACCUAACCUGCUACCAAGUUCUGUUCCUAGACCAGCCAUGAGUGAAAUUCAGUGCUGCCACCGGCCUGAACCCUGCCACCCUGAUGUUGGAGACGGAUCCUGAGGCUCCCUACAAAUGCAUGACUGCCAAGAGGUAUGCCUUUGCUACAUGGCGUGUGCAUGGAGCAUGUGGGGAGAGAAGAUUCCUGACUCCCACCGGGAAGAUGAUCCAGCAAAAGAACCUACUGGAGGCCGCAUGGACCCUGCAAGAAGCAGCCAUGACCCAUUGUUCCGGACAUCAGAAAAGAAACUAGAGGGCAGAUGAAGCCACUUGUGCAGCUACACAACAAGCAGAGCCAGCCUUGACAUUGAUUCUACUAGGCUCCCUGCUUCCAAAGGACCCUGGAUACAGUAAGGAGAAAUAAGAUGGGCAAGAGAUUAGGACUAGAGACUAAAUAGAUUUUACAGAAGUAAAAUCAGAGACUUUUGGGUAUAAGUACUUGCUGAUAUUUAUAGACACAUUUUCAAGUUGGGUAGAGGUUUAACCAAUAAAGUCUGAGGGGGGCAUAGAUGGUGAGCAAGAAAAUUUUAGAUAAAACAGUGCCCAGGUGGAGAGUUCCCUCUCACCAUUGGUUCUGGUAAGCAGACAUUCACUGUUUUUGUGUCUCAGUUAGUGACCCGAGAAAUGGGAACAAAUUGGAAAUUUCAUUAUGCUAACGAGCCCCAUAUCCCUGGGCAGGUAGAGAGAUAAAUUAGACCUUAAAGGAGACUUUAACUAAAUUAACCCUUGAAACUGGCAGGGGAUGGGUAUCGCUCCUGGCUCAGGCCCUUCUGAGAGUACACUGUCUCCCAUUGUAAACAAACUGUCUCCCUUUGAAAUGGUUUUUGGCAGACUGCUGCUGUCAUGAUCUGUGAUGCUCUUGUCUCUGAUCCAUUCCACAACUGUUAUACCAAGUUCUUACAUAUCUCCAGCCUAUAUUGCAGGACAAUUAGAAUGCUGUGCUACAAGCCUUUGGGAAGGACCCUGUCACCUGCUGCCUGCUCCACAAGGCACACCCAGUGAGAAAGACCUUAUAUUGUGAUCCUGAGUACACCAACUGCUGCAAAGGUUGCCGGAAAGUGCCACUAGAUUCAUCACACUCCUUUGAAGAGGACAGUUGCUGAUCCCACUGACCCAAAAGAAAAAAAAGAUGAAGAUGAAUCAAAGAUUUGAUUCUCGGCUAAGACAAGUGGGGAAUGUAAAAGGCAGUAGCCUUGAAAUUCCCUUUUUAUGCCGUUGUUUGUUAAGUGCUUUUAGUAUGAGUUGCUUGUAGUAUGAGGUGGAAAAUUCCUUGCCCCUUCCCCCUUGAAUAAGCAGGACCUAAUCAGUGAAGGCCACCCAUUGUUCGAAGGACCCUGCCUGGGGACAAGCCUUAUCAGGACCUCAUCAGUGAAGGCCACCCAUUGUUCGAAGGACCCUACAUGGGGACAAGCCUUAUCAGGACCUUUGAACAGACUUUGUGGUGUGCUGCCUACCGGAUGGGUGGUCAUAGCCGAUGGCAGGAGGAUGUGGCGACCCUGCCUGGUUGAAUUCUAUUGGUUGUGUGAUCUUACUAUAUUUGAAAAUAGCCCGCACUUUGCUUUGAAUGGACCCUGCUUUUUGCUAAGUUUGAAAUGAUUGGAUCUUGUGUUUGCUAUAGCCUGUUAUUGGAUGUAGGUUGAUAAGGUGAUGUGCUCCCCCUCCCUGAGUGUAGUCUGAAUUCCUAUAAAUUGUAUGGUUUGAGCCCUGUUCGGGGUCGAGCUUGGUAGACUAACACCAGUCACCAUCUCGGCCCGGAUUGCAAUUCGUCAAUAAACAUCUUUGCUUCCUUACA
Erinaceus europaeus (western European hedgehog) is the source of this 3534-nucleotide long non-coding RNA. RefSeq lists it as uncharacterized. The record is from RefSeq and is a predicted model, not a curated record. The transcript has 3 exons. NCBI's taxonomy places the organism in Eukaryota, Metazoa, Chordata, Mammalia, Eulipotyphla, Erinaceidae.